UCUUCUCAGUUCUCUCUCUCUUUGUUUUCUUCAUCGGCAAAUCUCUCUCUCCGGCGGCCGGCAGUCCUUCUCUCGACGGAAUCUCUGCCAGAUUUCGCCGGAAAAUCUCUCUCUCUCUCUCUCUCCGGAAUCCAUCUCUAGCCAAAAAAUAUCUCUGGAUGGAAUCUCUCUGCCGGAUCUCGCCGAAACUUGACGGACACGCUCUCUCUCAUAGGAUCUCGACGGAAACGCUCUCUCUCGACGGAUAUUGCCGAAGCUCACCGAAAAUCUCUCUCUGGACGAAAUCUCUCUAUGCCAGAUCUCGCCAAAAACAGUUUCUCUCGCCGGAUCUAUCUCGCCGGAACUACAAAUAGUGAAAUGAUGGUGAUAGAAGAGAAUAGCAAGCAUGGGAAUGGAAGUUGCUCAAGGUGGAGUACAAUUGGCGAUUGAAAAAGAAAAACAACCGACGGAUGAAAAAAAACUAUCAGAUUACAUUAGCGAGUUCGUUGGGUUUUUUUUUACUGUUUCUAGCAAUUUUAUACUAUUAGGAUAUGGAGGACUUUGAUAUCUUUAUGUUGUAAUGAUGUAUUGGUAUGGAAAUACAUUUUCGCUGUUGUUGGAAUCA
Molecule: long non-coding RNA, 604 nt
Organism: Alnus glutinosa
Lineage: Eukaryota; Viridiplantae; Streptophyta; Magnoliopsida; Fagales; Betulaceae
Exons: 2
Source: RefSeq, a predicted model, not a curated record